CUGGAAUGGCUUAUGGUCUAAACAGUUUACUGCCAUGGGAUGGGACUGCGGCCUAUCAGCUUGUUGGUGAGGUAAUGGCCCACCAAGGCUAUAACAGGUACGGGCUCUGAGAGGAGAAGCCCGGAGAUGGGUACUGAGACACGGACCCAGGCCCUAUGGGGCGCAGCAGGCGAGAAACCUUAGCAAUGUGCGAAAGCACGACUGGGUCAGUCCGAGUGAUUCCUGAUAAAGGAGUCUUUUAUCUAUCCUAAAAGCACAGGUGAAUAAGGGGUGGGCAAGUCUGGUGUCAGCCGCCGCGGUAAUACCAGCACCUCGAGUGGUCAGGACGUUUAUUGGGCCUAAAGCAUCCGUAGCCGGCUUUGCAAGUCUUCGGUUAAAUCCACCUGCUCAACAGAUGGGCUGCUGGAGAUACUACAAAGCUAGGGAGUGGGAGAGGCAGACGGUAUUCAGUGGGUAGGGGUAAAAUCCUCUGAUCCAUCGAGGACCACCAGUGGCGAAGGCGGUCUGCCAGAACACGUUCGACGGUGAGGGAUGAAAGCUGGGGGAGCAAACCGGAUUAGAUACCCGGGUAGUCCCAGCUGUAAACGAUGCAAACUCGGUGAUGCAUUGGCUUAUGGCCAAUGCAGUGCCGCAGGGAAGCCGUUAAGUUUGCCGCCUGGGAAGUACGGACGCAAGUCUGAAACUUAAAGGAAUUGGCGGGGGAGCACCACAAGGGGUGAAGCCUGCGGUUCAAUUGGAAUCAACGCCGGU
Molecule: ribosomal RNA, 750 nt
Filed under: uncultured archaeon
Lineage: Archaea
Description: bacterial SSU rRNA
Rfam family: Archaeal small subunit ribosomal RNA
Source: RNAcentral